UGCAUAGAUAUGACACAGAACACCGAUAGCGAAGGCAGCUCACAAAAUUACAACUGACACUGAGGCACGAAAGCGUGGGUAUCAAACAGGAUUAGAUACCCUGGUAGUCCACGCUGUAAACGAUGAUCACUAGCUGUUUGCGAUACAUUGUAAGUGGUUAAGCGAAAGCGAUAAGUGAUCCACCUGGGGAGUACGUCGGCAACGAUGAAACUCAAAGGAAUUGACGGGGGCCCGCACAAGCGGAGGAGCAUGUGGUUUAAUUCGAUGAUACGCGAGGAACCUUACCUGGGCUUGAACGUAUGGUGCAUGAGUGUGAAAGCACUCUUUCCUUCACAGGACUUCAUACGAGGUGCUGCAUGGUUGUCGUCAGCUCGUGCCGUGAGGUGUUAGGUUAAGUCCUGCAACGAGCGCAACCCCUGUUUUUAGUUGCCAGCAGGUUAUGCUGGGCACUCUAGAAAGACUGCCUGCGCAAGCAGAGAGGAAGGUGGGGAUGACGUCAAAUCAGCACGGCCCUUACGUCCAGGGCUACACACGUGCUACAAUGGUCGGCACAGAAGGUGGCUACCCGGCAACGGGAUGCUAAUCUCCAAAGUCGAUCUUAGUUCGGAUCGAAGUCUGCAACUCGACUUCGUGAAGUUGGAUUCGCUAGUAAUCGUAUAUCAGCCAUGAUACGGUGAAUACGUUCCC
This 687-nucleotide ribosomal RNA is filed under the name uncultured organism. Its description in RNAcentral is "bacterial SSU rRNA". It matches the Rfam family "Bacterial small subunit ribosomal RNA", at positions 687 to 1375 of the family's 1533-position model. The record is from RNAcentral.